GCCUCCGUGAUGGAACAGCAGACAUGCCGGUCUCAAACACCGGUGGGCCGCGAGGCUCGUGCGAGUGCGAAUCUCGCCGGAGGUA
RNAcentral lists this transfer RNA (85 nucleotides) under Kouleothrix aurantiaca. It matches the Rfam family "tRNA". Rfam says of the family: Transfer RNA (tRNA) molecules are approximately 80 nucleotides in length. Their secondary structure includes four short double-helical elements and three loops (D, anti-codon, and T loops). Further hydrogen bonds mediate the characteristic L-shaped molecular structure. tRNAs have two regions of fundamental functional importance: the anti-codon, which is responsible for specific mRNA codon recognition, and the 3' end, to which the tRNAs corresponding amino acid is attached (by aminoacyl-tRNA synthetases). tRNAs cope with the degeneracy of the genetic code in two manners: having more than one tRNA (with a specific anti-codon) for a particular amino acid; and 'wobble' base-pairing, i.e. permitting non-standard base-pairing at the 3rd anti-codon position. The record is from Rfam by way of RNAcentral. Lineage: Bacteria; Bacillati; Chloroflexota; Chloroflexia; Chloroflexales; Roseiflexaceae.